Molecule: ribosomal RNA, 468 nt
Filed under: uncultured Actinomycetes bacterium
Lineage: Bacteria; Bacillati; Actinomycetota; Actinomycetes
Description: bacterial SSU rRNA
Rfam family: Bacterial small subunit ribosomal RNA
Source: RNAcentral
CGAACGCUGGCGGCGUGCUUAACACAUGCAAGUCGAGCGAUGAGAUCACUUCGGUGAAGGAUUAGCGGCGAACGGGUGAGGAACACGUGAAGAAUCUGCCUUCAACUCUGGGAUAACUCCGGGAAACCGGGGCUAAUACCGGAUAUGAGCCUUGAUCGCAUGAUCGGGGCUGGAAAGUUUUUCGGUUGAAGAUGACUUCGCGGCCUAUCAGCUUGUUGGUGAGGUAAUGGCUCACCAAGGCGACGACGGGUAGCCGGCCUGAGAGGGCGACCGGCCACACUGGGACUGAGACACGGCCCAGACUCCUACGGGAGGCAGCAGUGGGGAAUAUUGGGCAAUGGACGAAAGUCUGACCCAGCGACGCCGCGUGCGGGAUGAAGGCCUUCGGGUUGUAAACCGCUUUCAGCAGGGAAUAAGCGCAAGUGAAGGUACCUGCAGAAGAAGCACCGGCUAACUAUGUGCCAGCAG